CCUGCAAACAACCUUGACUCCUAAGGGUAAAUUGCUUUCAGGGUUGAUAAUUUUGUUACAUGAGCUUCUAACUCACAGCCCUGGAGACCUGGCCUCGGGUGCAGUCUGUAUGGAGCUUACGUAUUCUCUGUGACCACGUGGUUUCCUCAGAGCUCUGGUUUCCUCCCACAUCCCAAUGAUGGAUGGGUCGAUAGGUUCAUUGGUCACAGUAAAUUGCCCUGGUGUGAAGGUUGAACUCUUCAGAGGCUUACAGAGCACAAGAAAACCAUUCAUCCUACCAGAUAAGGAAACUAAUAUUCUCAGAUCCAUCUAAAACAUUGACACCAACUCAUGGGAAUCCCUGGCCCUUCUUCGUGCUGACUUCUUUACACCACCCACCAUUUACAACACAUGGGAAGAUCCUCAAAUGGAGAAGUACUUAGGAUGAUACUGAGAAGCUGUGCAAGAGGACCACUUGGAGUCCAGCAAAGGGGGUAGAAGGAGCGCCCUGCAUCCCAAACUGUUCAUGCACUGUCCCUGCCAGACACCUCCAGUUCUACAACGUAAACUCCAAGACCUGGGCCUCAAUACCCCUUUGUGUAAUUGGAUUUCCUCACUUUAGACUCUGAAACCUGCCCUGGACCUUUCAUAUAAAUACAAUUGCGAAGAAAGAGAAACAGUGCCUCUACUUCUCCAGGAGUCUGCAGAGUUUUGGCAUAUCAUCAAAAACCUUGACAAACUUCUGUAGACAUGUGGUGGAAAGUGUGCUGACUGGCUGCAUUAUGGCCUGGUAUGGGAACACCAAAAUCUUUGAGUGGAAAAUCUUAUAAAAGGUAGUGGAUUCAGCCCAGUUCAUCAUGAGUAAAACCCUCCCAACCAUUGAGAACAUCUAUAUGAAAUGUUGCCAUAGAAAAGCAGCAUCCAUCAUCAAAGAUCCUCACCACCCAGGCCGUGCUCUUUUCUCGCUGCUGCCAUCAGGCAGAAGGUGCAGGUGCCUCAGGACUCACACCACCAGGUUCAAGAACUGUUACUACCUCUCAACCAUCAGACUCUUGAGCAAAAGGGGAUAGAUGCAUUCAUUUAAGGACUCAUUUAUCUUGUUAUUUCAUGCUUAUUAUUUAUUGAUAUUUGCAGUUUAUAUAUUGUAUAAUAUUGUAUACAGUUUACAAUUCUUGAAGCUUACAGUUUACAGAUCCUGUUUACAGUUACUGUUCUAUAGAUUUGCUGAGUAUGCCCACAGGAAAAAGAAUCUCAGGGUUGUAUGUGGUGACAUGUAUGUAUUCCGAUAAUAAACUUUAGUUUGCACUUUUAAUUAAUAUCAAAUACGUUCUAUUAAUUACUUUUUUUAAUUGGCAUGAAAUAUUUUUUGCACCUCUUGCUAUUUUCUGCUUCUAUGAAUCUUUAAAAAAUGAAUUCACAAUAACGUCCCAUUGUUCUUCUGCAGUGCUCAAUUCAAGUCCUAGUGAAGGGUCUUGACCGAAAACAUCAACUGUUCAUUUUUCUCAAUAGAUGCUGCCUGACCUGCUGAAUUCCUUUCUAUUUUGGUCCAGAUUUCCAGCAUCUGCAGUGUCUCCAUUGUUGUUCAAGAUCUGGAAUGAUUAUCAUAUGGAGUGCUUUCUUUCAGUCAUAGAACAUAGAGCAAAGUACAGAGACCUAGAGCUAUGAUAUCAUGCUGAUAUUUGUAAAUAUACUCCAGAAUUAAUCUGACCCUUCCUUCCUACAAAGUCCCCUAUAUAUCCAUGUAUAUUAUCUAAGAAACUCUUUAAUGCCCCUAUUGUUUCAGCUGCUACUAUCACCUCUGGCAGUGCAUUCCAAGCACCUACAACUCCUAGAGUGAAAAGCCUAGCUCUGCCAUCUCCUCUAAAUGUUCCUCCACUCACCUUUAACAGAUGUGCUCUGGUUUUGCCCUGGGGUCAAGGAGCUGGCUGCCCACUCUUUCUAUGCCUUUCAUCAUCUUGUACACCUCUCUCAUCCUCCUUCGUUCCAAAGAGAAGAGUCCUAGCUCUCUCAACCUUUGCUCAUUAGACAUGUUCUCCAAUCCAGGCACUGACCUGGUAAUUUAUGGUAAUUUAUUUAUAAAGUUUUCGCAUCCUUCUUAUAAUGAGGUGACCAGAACUGAACACAAUAAUCUAAGUGUGGUCUAACCAGAGAGUUAUAGAGCUGCAGCAUUACCACAAAGUUCUUGAACUCAUUUCCGUGACUAAUGAAAGCCAUCACACCAUACGCCUUUCUUAACCACCCUAUCAAUCUGUGCAGCAACUUUGAAGGAUCUCUGGACUUGGACUUUAAGAUCCCUUCAUUCCUCCAAACUGCUGAAAAUCCUGCCAGUAAACUUGUACUCUGCCUUCAUGUUUAAUUUUCCAACUUCGCUUCACACUUCACACUUUUUUGAAUUGAACUCCAUUUGCCACUUCUCCGCCCGACUCUGCAUCCUGGUUACAUUCUGUUGUAACCUAUGACGAUCUUUGAUACAACACCACCAGCCUUUGUGAGUGAGUGAGUGGGGCCUCCGUUGGCCACAGUUGACCAUGGAUGUUGUGCACUAGUCAUCUAGAUACACGAGCCUGGGCAGUACGAUAUGGAGAGCAAGCUGUUGCCCAUAUGCAGCAAGCUCCCCCUCUCCACGCAUCUGAUGAACCCAAAAGAACGGCAGAAACUGAUAAAGUUUGGCACCAGCAGUGUCGCAGGGUUGCCAGUCAGCGUUGAACUCAAUGUGGGACUCCAGCGCUGGAUUUUUCCCUCGGGGUUUACUCCUGAAGCUUUCUCCAUGAGUAGGUAUAGCCACAAGGCAGCAGAGCUUUGAGAUCAGUUUUCCUUCUUCUAGAUGAGCUGCCAAACACGGCUGAUG
Long non-coding RNA from Hypanus sabinus (Atlantic stingray), 2827 nucleotides. RefSeq lists it as uncharacterized. The record is from RefSeq and is a predicted model, not a curated record. NCBI's taxonomy places the organism in Eukaryota, Metazoa, Chordata, Chondrichthyes, Myliobatiformes, Dasyatidae. The transcript is spliced from 3 exons.